AACUUUUGACAAUGGAUCACUUGGCUCUCGCAUCGAUGAAGAACGCAGCGAAAUGCGAUAAGUAAUGCGAAUUGCAGAAUCCGUGAGUCAUCGAAUCUUUGAACGCACAUUGCGCCCUUUGGUAUUCCGAAGGGCAUGCCUGUUCGAGCGUCAUUAUCACCCCUCAAGCUCCGGCUUGGUGUUGGGCUUCGAGAUAGCUAUAUCACGGGCCUCAAAGAUAGUGACGGCGUCCCAGAUGGAUCCGGUACGAGGAGCUUUUAACCAAGCAUGUACGCGGAGUGAAUCUGCGGGCGGCGGUCUUUAACCACUACUCUUCGGAGUUCUUUCUAAGUGUUGACCUCGGAUCAGGUAGGGAUACCCGCUGAACUUAAGCAUAUCAAUAAGCGGAGGCU
RNAcentral lists this unclassified non-coding RNA (392 nucleotides) under uncultured Rhinocladiella. Its description in RNAcentral is "sequence contains ITS2". The stretch from base 1 to 153 matches the Rfam family "5.8S ribosomal RNA". The record is from RNAcentral. Lineage: Eukaryota; Fungi; Ascomycota; Eurotiomycetes; Chaetothyriales; Herpotrichiellaceae.